Molecule: ribosomal RNA, 430 nt
Filed under: bacterium
Lineage: Bacteria
Description: partial 16S ribosomal RNA
Rfam family: Bacterial small subunit ribosomal RNA
Source: RNAcentral
UGGGGAAUAUUGGACAAUGGGCGCAAGCCUGAUCCAGCCAUGCCGCGUGUGUGAAGAAGGCCUUUUGGUUGUAAAGCACUUUAAGCGAGGAGGAGGCUACUUGGAUUAAUACUCUAAGAUAGUGGACGUUACUCGCAGAAUAAGCACCGGCUAACUCUGUGCCAGCAGCCGCGGUAAUACAGAGGGUGCGAGCGUUAAUCGGAUUUACUGGGCGUAAAGCGUGCGUAGGCGGCUUCUUAAGUCGGAUGUGAAAUCCCUGAGCUUAACUUAGGAAUUGAAUUCGAUACUGAGAAGCUAGAGUAUGGGAGAGGAUGGUAGAAUGCCAGGUGGAGCGGUGAAAUGAGUAGAGAUCUGGAGGAAUGCCGAUGGCGAAGGCAGCCAUCUGGCCUAAUACUGACGCUGAGGUACGAAAGCAUGGGGAGCAAACAGA